UUUAAUAUGGCAGAAAAUAUGCAUUGGUAUUAAGAACCAUUAAUGAAUUAAUUAAAAAUUUCUAUUAAAA
This 70-nucleotide transfer RNA is filed under the name Tetraponera aethiops. RNAcentral describes it as "tRNA-Leu". Lineage: Eukaryota; Metazoa; Arthropoda; Insecta; Hymenoptera; Formicidae. The record is from RNAcentral.